Molecule: ribosomal RNA, 427 nt
Filed under: uncultured bacterium
Lineage: Bacteria
Description: partial 16S ribosomal RNA
Rfam family: Bacterial small subunit ribosomal RNA
Source: RNAcentral
UGGGGAAUAUUGGACAAUGGGCGAAAGCCUGAUCCAGCCAUGCCACGUGUGUGAAGAAGGUCUUCGGAUUGUAAAGCACUUUAAGUUGGGAGGAAGGGCAUUAACCUAAUACGUUAGUGUUUUGACGUUACCGACAGAAUAAGCACCGGCUAACUCUGUGCCAGCAGCCGCGGUAAUACAGAGGGUGCAAGCGUUAAUUGGAAUUACUGGGCGUAAAGCGCGCGUAGGUGGUUUGUUAAGUUGGAUGUGAAAUCCCCGGGCUCAACCUGGGAACUGCAUUCAAAACUGACUGACUAGAGUAUGGUAGAGGGUGGUGGAAUUUCCUGUGUAGCGGUGAAAUGCGUAGAUAUAGGAAGGAACACCAGUGGCGAAGGCGACCACCUGGACUAAUACUGACACUGAGGUGCGAAAGCGUGGGGAGCAAACA